GUUCUAUGAUCAUUCUUCUCUCCAAAUAUUUUAUUUGUUGGUUUUAGUUUUCAGGGUUUGAGACAUUGAGUCUACUCGCAACUGAUACGAUUUGCUUAUAGAAACUGAUAUUAUUAUAGAUACUUUAGUGAAUUACAAAAGGAACUGAGGAUUUUGUUAAUGGAGCUCCUCCCACUCCCCCAGAAUUAACCCACAAACCAGAUGAACCUUCCUCAUUUCUCUAAGACAUCUUAUAUAGAUAAAGACUCAUGACAACUCUCUAAACCAACCAUAGUUACUUGACAUUACCCACACCAAACCAUGGUUAAUUUUAUAAGACUUAGCUAUUACUAAUAAGCUCUUAAAGCAUAGAUGUAUCAAUACCCCUGCCUUUGAAAACAACCUUGUCCUCAAGGUUGGAAAGAGAAAACUGUUUAGCCAACCCAGUUUUUUGAGCUCCCAAGGACAUUCAUAAUCUGGCAGCACUUGCACUUCUUCAAUGACUCUUCCUUGCACUGUUCUUAGAUAACCCCUCGCCUCCACACUCAGCUCGAAAUAGACUUGGAGAUGUUCCUUUAACUGUGCCAAUAUUACGUCUCUUUCUUGUAACAGAGUCCCACUCGUCAGAGCGUCUUUAAUUUCUUCAUGUCUAAUAUUCUCUGCAGAAGAGGGCACUGAACUCGGCAAUAAGAUUAUUUGUCUGGGCAUCACAUCGUCAUGUGGGAACAACAGUUUUAGCUCCCAGAGUCUUCCUUGUCCAUAAAGAUUUUGCCAAGCAAGGCUACUCUUUUCUUCCUCCCGUGAAGCAACCGUGAUUAGAUAGACAACCCGAAAACCCAUCCCCAUGAACUGAACUUCUCUUUCUCGACUAAUCGCAGCCAAAUCCAUUUUCUGCAUUGUCUGAAAUUCAAUUGCCCAUCCACUUGUAGUAGUGAAGGUAAAUAAAACUACUUGCAUCUGUUUUGCUGAGACCUCCAUAUCAGCAGGAAUUUCAAGAGAAGAAUCAUCACGAAUCAUGUUUACCUCAUGCAUGAAACCUACACUAAGAAGCAAUGCAACCAACUCCAAGCUAACACCAAGUCCCCCUUCUAUCACUUUCAUGAUCACAUCAAAAAGUUUCCCAAUUCCAAGCAGUGACAACUGAAUCUGUUUGUUAAUGUCAUUGCAAACUUCAUGUCUUGUGGUGGCUAUGGAAAGCUCUUUAUGAAGUGAUGAGGCCCAUAUUCUUUCGGAAUAUGACAUUUCCAUCAACCCUUUGCCUAGAGGAGCUUCUCCUUUUAAAUAUUUACGCAACACACAAGUGUUCCUUUUCCUGUGCUUCUUUCUAAACUUGGCUCUCUUCCCGCUUGUCGUGGACUGCUUCUUAUCGGCUGUCAUCAAUCUAAAUAAUAGUUUUACACAAAUCAGUGCACAGACACAAUUGUUGGGCUUAGCAAGUUUUCUCUCACGUUUCAACCUUGCUCUCUUCUUCACUCUGAGAACCUGCUCAACAAAAGCUCUCUUUUUAUGAAUAGUUAAGAACAUCAUUACCUUCUUCUUGUGUAUAUGUCGAAAUCUGUAUCUCUUUUUGCCAGCCCGAAACCUAUUCUCCUUAACUGCUUCUACUCCCAUUAUCAGCCCAUCCAUGAUCACUCGAUAAGAAUGUUGGUCUUGUUUCUCUAAAACCAAUACAACCCCACUCAUCAUCUUCAUUUUUCUCUUUAGACUUUUCUUUGGAGACCUCAACGAUCCUAGUACAGCAGCCGUAUAAUCAGUGGUCAUGUUCGUCACGACAAGCGUUGGCAAUCCUCUCACUAUCAACGUUUUGUUAAUUCUAAACUUGUGCAUUCUUCGAAACAUAACCAUUUUUUUCCAGUAAUCCAGCAUUACAGUUUUGAACUUGACCUUAUGUGGCUUGGUACAGUCUAUCUUUCUCUCUACCUCCACAUGUUCUCCUUUCCAAGACUUUUUAUGAAACAUCUGGCAGGUAUUGUGAUACUCCUGAUUUCUAGAGAACCUCGCUUUGAUCCUCUUUUCAUGCUUGUUGCUUUUCUGCUUGAAUUUGUGUUUCCUCCACUUGGAACGCUUAUUCUUUACAGUUAUAUAUCCCAAUGAUAGCCUUGUAUACACUAGUCCGUGAAUGUAUUCACAGUACUUGCGACCCUUCCUCUCAAAUUCCAUCAUUGUUCCCUUUCCUCUCUUCUUCUUUAUGAAUAUCGACAUAAACUGUAUAUUGAUCACCUGCUGGUUGUAUAACCACCGAGAGUGCAUACUCUUACAAAAAUUAUAUGUCUUUGACAGCUUCUUCCAUCUCUUCCUCUUCUUGGUGUGUCCUUGUGUGGCUGAGCUUUUUGAAGUUUCUAUGGAUUUAAGUCCGUUGUAUAUCCGUGCUGCACUCCCACAAAAAUUAUGUUUACCAAAUUUGUACUUUGAUCUUUUCGGUUGGGUAAACUUCCUCCUCUUCCUUUCUUUCUUCUUUGUAAACAGCUUCACAAAACCUCUAUCUCCAUCGAUAUUGAAAUGCCUCUCAGGUUCAACAGUCUUGGGAAGUUUUUUCCAUCUCUUCUUCUUCUUCGUCUUCUUCUUCUUCUUCUUAUUAUUUCCCUUGAUAGAAAUUUCAUCGAACACUUGGCAUGCAUCCUUAGUCAUCUCUAGAUCUGUCUGAUUUUUCUCUCCUCGCUGGUGUGUUUCAUCUCUCAUUGUACUAUCAUCCGCAAACACAGUAGUCUCCUUCUCCUCAGCCUUCAGAUUUGGUUUUUCAAAACGCUCACCAGUGUCAAGGAUAUAUUUCUCUAGCCUGUCCAAUCAGCUCGACCAUCUGCUCAUCUUAGAAUCAAAAUCGUCACUCUCCGUUAGAACAGCCACGAUGCUCUCUUUUCCUUUUCUGAAUCGUUGAAGCAGACCGAUCUUGACCUCAUUCCAGCUAGUGAACACAACUUGUGAUUCCUGGAACCACAACAGAGCAACAUCUUCCAUGAAUCCAUAUGCAAAAGAAAUCUUCGUCUCUUCCGAAAAUCCAUGGUCAGUGAAAUAAUCUUCAACCCAUGAAAUCCACAUCUCUGGAUCUUCAUCGCCGUAGAAGAUUGGAACCUCCACAAAACCAUCUUCCCUCGGAUCGUACCGCUCUGAUACCAUGUUUGAUACGAUUUGCUUAUAGAAACUGAUAUUAUUAUAGAUACUUUAGUGAAUUACAAAAGGAACUGAGGAUUUUGUUAAUGGAGCUCCUCCCACUCCCCCAGAAUUAACCCACAAACCAGAUGAACCUUCCUCAUUUCUCUAAGACAUCUUAUAUAGAUAAAGACUCAUGACAACUCUCUAAACCAACCAUAGUUACUUGACAUUACCCACACCAAACCAUGGUUAAUUUAUAAGACUUAGCUAUUACUAAUAAGCUCUUAAAGCAUAGAUGUAUCAGCAACCAGACUCGGGACUACCACAAUAUCUCUGACACAAGGUUUGAGUACCGUGUUUUCCCCAAAAUAUGUAUACAAAAGUUUGAUUCAAUGUCAUAGUUUCUAUACCAAAUCAGAUAAGGUAUAACUGUCUUAGAAUCAGUAUGAAGUCAG
Molecule: long non-coding RNA, 3524 nt
Filed under: Capsella rubella
Lineage: Eukaryota; Viridiplantae; Streptophyta; Magnoliopsida; Brassicales; Brassicaceae
Description: long non-coding RNA (CRUB_LNC002441)
Source: RNAcentral